GUGAAAUUAUUUUAUAUAAAAUAAGAUAUCUCUUUCUCUUUUAAGUGUCCAAACAUCUCCUCAUCUAAGUUUAGGUUUCCUAAUCUGAUGGCAUUGGCUCUCAUCAUUCACAGAAACGAUGGAAAUUAAACCUGCCACAUCAAAAGGAGUGGAAUCCAACUUGGUCAUCUGCUGCUGUACAGCAUCUGCUUCGAGGUCCAUGGUGGCAUGCAUUCAGGGAUUUUUAUCUCAAAUAGCUGUUAUAGCUUUCCCUGUACUUCCUACUUGGAUGUCGCAAAGAAGAGGAACAAACUAUGACUAUAUCUUCAAGGAGUAACUGAUUCUGCCCCUUCCGGGCCAAGUUCCAUAAAGCCAGGAAUCCCCAGAAGGAGGCGUCUCACUUUGGUUUGAGCCUGAUUGGAUGACAGAGCUCCUAAAGUCAGAUCUACUCAACGGAGCAGCAUUUGUAGAAUACGAGAAGGCUAUAGCAUGUAUUUCUGUUGUUUAAUGCCACUGUGUAUUUGUUUUGUUUCCAGUUUGUUUGUUGAGUUAAAAAGGCUGGUGUUCCAACAUUUCUUUUGGAUCUGAUCCUUACUCCCAUUUUAUAUACAGUAUAUAUAAUAGUAUGUGCUUGAAUACACAUAGUGAAUGGGACCUGUAAGUAAUGCAUAGUGUGGCUUUGAGUCCUAAAUUUCUUUUUAUUAUUUUAUUUAGAGAAGUAUAGUUUUGCAACUGCUUCUUAAUUGUACAUACCUUUUAUGUUAUCUAUUACUGAUACUCUUUGUUCUACACUGUCUUUAAAACAUUGGCAGAAUAAAUGGAUUUGAAAUUGAAUUUGCACAGUUUACUGCCUAAUGCAUACCCUUGGCCUAUUUAUAAUCUGUGACUAAGAGUAUAGAGCCUUUCCACUAGGCUAGACUGGGAUUGUUACAUCUAUUUUUGAAUUCUUUACUUUCAGCCAUAUUAACAGUUCUGUCACAUACAAAAACUCCACGCAAUUAGGGUGCAUUCCUAAACAGUUCCUUAAAUCAUGUAGGCUGCACUAUACUGUAUAACCUUGGUAAAGAAUGUGUUACAUGUAAA
Polypterus senegalus (gray bichir) is the source of this 1062-nucleotide long non-coding RNA. RefSeq lists it as uncharacterized. The record is from RefSeq and is a predicted model, not a curated record. The transcript is spliced from 4 exons. Lineage: Eukaryota; Metazoa; Chordata; Cladistia; Polypteriformes; Polypteridae.